Molecule: unclassified non-coding RNA, 1411 nt
Filed under: Hevea brasiliensis (rubber tree)
Lineage: Eukaryota; Viridiplantae; Streptophyta; Magnoliopsida; Malpighiales; Euphorbiaceae
Source: RNAcentral
UUGGUUUUUGUGACAAAGUACACUGCCAUGCAUACUCCACCAAUCAUGUCCAGAAUGACUGAAUUAACUAGCAGUCACUUCCUUAUCUAAAACUUUGAUUCUAUUUCCUCUUUCUGCAGCUUUUCUUUUUGCUUGAAUUUGACGCACAUAUUCUGCUACUAUCACAUGGAACUUAGGAGCAAGUUUACUUGAUGAGGAAACAUUAAGACCUGCUUUCUUCAAAGCCCGAGUUACAUGCUUCUGAGCCUUUUGGAAGUGUACAGUGCAGAGAGAAGGAACAGUUGAUCUCAAUAUUGGCUUUCCACAUGUUAUAGGUCCUGACUGAGCACUAGAGGUACAGCCAAUCAAUCAAACAUAUAUCGUCAGUGGAAAAGUGAUCAUGCACAAGAUAACAAAUUUUCAUAGUUGGAAGCAUGAGAUCACAAUAUAAAUUAGCAAUUGCACACUAGUCACUACCAAAUGCAGAUCAACACAUGAAAUACGCUAUUUGAACACAUCUUGAUGCAGAAAACAAUUCGCCAAUUAACUGAUCUUUGAGAGAUAUAGCCACCAAUUGUCCCUCGAAUAAUAAAAUGCUAAAAAUUAUAACAGCUUGAAUAGCAAUCUGGCUUCAGAAUUGUUUUUAUCAUUCUUCAAGAUAGGGCGAAAGAAAGGUUCAAAAGCUAGGAUGAAAGAUUUUAGGAUCAAAUUUCAGUCUUAAUAGCUAACUCUACUUUAGCAUGAAGCAAAACAAGUAUAGGGGCGAAAAUAUGUAUUUAUGUACACACGUUUCUUCUCACUUGUUCUAUGUGAUAAUACAGCAAUUUUAUCACUAGAUGCAGUUGCUGUGACAUAAUAACAGUAUAAAAAAAAAGGAUUAAGACAGAUAGGUACAAUUACAACUAAACUUUAACUUAUACAAGAAUCAAACUGCUUCUCUAGCCACAUUAUAAUUUUUUCUAUCAUGAAAUGUUGAGUUAAUUAACCACUAUAAGAAUAAAAAAUGGCAACAGUUAGAUAAAAAAUAAUGGAACAGCAUUAUUUUCUAUGAUAACAAACAAUCAAAAGAAAUUGAAAAUAAUGGAAUUAAAAAGGAAUGCCCAUUAAAGAAAUAAUCAAAAGAAAAACCAAAGUAGAAUAGAGCAAAAUAAAACCUCUUGAUGACAUAACCGCAAGGCUUGUAGAGCUUCUGCUUGGCAUCAGAGAGAAUAUGCAAAUGACAAAAACUAUUCAAAGCCAUGGCCUUUAGCUUACACCCCACAAACAGACACCGAUGAUUGUUCUUCAAAUCCAAAUCGCCCAUAUAAUUAGAAAUAGCAUUAUUACCAUUAACAUUAUUAUUUUCACCAAUAACUUCAAUAUUAACACUACCGCUUUCUACCUCUCCACUUUCUACAGCGCAGCCUUGCUCUAGCUUUUGUUGUUGUAGCAG